UGUUCAUCUAGAACACACGCACAAGUGUGUGAGAGAGAAUCAUUUUUGAAGAUCUUCAUCGUGUUCAUCGGACAGGUCUAGAUACGUUUGUUGGAUAAUAAUUUAUGGGACUAGGACUGGGAAGAAACCUAACAAAACAUUACGUGUGAAUUGAUGCAGAUAAAAACUCAAAAUUUAGGGAGUCUUCAAGUUCAGGGCAUAAUUGGGUAGAAGUUGCAACCAAACGAGAAGGGAUCUUGGCAGGAAAAAAAAGAACUACAAUAUCGGAUACGACAAAAGGUGGCCAUAAAGCGAAAGAAGGUAGAUGGAGAAACCAAUGAAGAAUGGGAACAAGAAGUCGAUGAAGGGCAGGUGGUGGGUACCUUUGACGUUGCACAGAAGUUACCCUCUAGUGUAACACAUGUUA
RNAcentral lists this long non-coding RNA (406 nucleotides) under Helianthus annuus (common sunflower). Its description in RNAcentral is "hypothetical non coding rna". Lineage: Eukaryota; Viridiplantae; Streptophyta; Magnoliopsida; Asterales; Asteraceae. The record is from RNAcentral.